UACGUAGGGUGCGAGCGUUGUCCGGAAUUAUUGGGCGUAAAGAGUUCGUAGGCGGUGUGUCACGUCGUUCGUGAAAACCUGCAGCUUAACUGUGGGCGUGCGGUCGAUACGGGCAUCACUGGAGUUCGGCAGGGGAGACUGGAAUUCCUGGUGUAGCGGUGAAAUGCGCAGAUAUCAGGAGGAACACCGGUGGCGAAGGCGGGUCUCUGGGCCGAUACUGACGCUGAGGAGCGAAGGCGUGGGGAGCGAACAGG
This 254-nucleotide ribosomal RNA is filed under the name uncultured bacterium. Its description in RNAcentral is "partial 16S ribosomal RNA". It matches the Rfam family "Bacterial small subunit ribosomal RNA", at positions 524 to 776 of the family's 1533-position model. The record is from RNAcentral.